CCUACGGGUGGCAGCAGUGAGGAAUAUUGGUCAAUGGGCGCGAGCCUGAACCAGCCAAGUCGCGUGAGGGAGGACGGCCCUACGGGUUGUAAACCUCUUUUGCCGGGGAGCAACGGGCGUCACGUGUGGCGCCACUGAGAGUACCCGGAGAAAAAGCAUCGGCUAACUCCGUGCCAGCAGCCGCGGUAAUACGGAGGAUGCGGGCGUUAUCCGGAUUUAUUGGGUUUAAAGGGUGCGUCGGCGGAUCGUUAAGUCAGCGGUAAAAUUGAGGGGCUCAACCCCUUCCCGCCAUUGAAACUGGCGCUCUUGAGUGGAAGAGAAGUAUGCGGAAUGCGUGGUGUAGCGGUGAAAUGCAUAGAUAUCACGCAGAACCCCGAUUGCGAAGGCAGCAUGCCGGCUUCCGACUGACGCUGAAGCACGAAAGCGUGGGGAUCGAACAGGAUUAGAUACCCGAGUAGUC
This 460-nucleotide ribosomal RNA is filed under the name uncultured bacterium. Its description in RNAcentral is "partial 16S ribosomal RNA". It matches the Rfam family "Bacterial small subunit ribosomal RNA", at positions 338 to 795 of the family's 1533-position model. The record is from RNAcentral.